RNAcentral lists this long non-coding RNA (883 nucleotides) under Ananas comosus (pineapple). RNAcentral describes it as "long non-coding RNA (ACOM_LNC027096)". Lineage: Eukaryota; Viridiplantae; Streptophyta; Magnoliopsida; Poales; Bromeliaceae. The record is from RNAcentral.
AAAUUCACUUAUUUUGGACUUUUGCAAAACUGGGCCACCUUUUUCGUUUUUGCAGAUUCGGUCCACUUUUUUAGCAAACUGACCAAAAUACCCUUAUUACUUUUUCUCUUUCCUCUUUCUCUCUCUUCUUUGUUUCUCUCGUUCUUUUUUUUUUUUCUCGCCGGCAGAGCGGAGGCGGAGUGGAGGCGGAAACGGUCCGUCUCGCUUCUCACCCUCAUGCUUUCGCCCUCGCCCUUGCCCUCGUCCAUGCACCCCUCAUCUUCCUCACCUCCGACCCCGCCAAGGCCGCGCCGCGACUUUUUUUUUUUGUUUUUUUCUUUUCUUUUCUUCUCCGACUCUUCUCCACCGUCUCCGACGACGACGCCUCUCGCCCUUCCCCACCCUUCUCAUCUCUCCCUCUCCCUCAUUUUCUGCCGCCUCCGACGACGAUUUAUCUUCACCGGCGUCGACGUCGACACCGUAGAGGUCACUGUAGCGCUACAGCCUCGGAGCGGGGGUUCUUAGCGGCGUCGUCACCGGCGCCGUAGCUGUUGGCAAAGAAGGUGACAAAAAAAAUUAUGGAAAAAACAGAAAAAAAAAUAAAGAUAAAAAAUUAUAUAAAAAGAAGGAUGAAGAUGAAAUUGCAUUUUUAAUUACAAAAAAAAUUAUAAGUUGCACUAUUUAAGAUGUAAACUGUUGCUUUAAGAUAAAAAUUAUACUCUUUGAACGAAAAUUAUACUAUUUUUUAUCUUAAACUGCAUCCUUUUAAGCGAUAUUUAUACUGUUUCUCCUCUUGUUUACACAGAAAUGGUGCAACAAGAGGAGAAACAGUGCAACAAGAGGAGAAACAGUAUAAAUAUCUCUUAAAAGGGUGCAGUUUCUCCUCUUAUUGCAUUGUUUCUCC